AAAAAAAAGAGAAAACAUGAGAGAAAGAUUGGUGAGGAUCCAAAUCUAGAGAUUUAAAAUAGCUAUUUAAAAUACCUUCUUAGUUUACGGAUUUUUUGAAAUUUUAUUAGAGUUUAAAAUAGUACUCCUUUUGCCAAUAUGUUUUGUGACUCAAUCGCAUAGGGCUUUUGUGGACCCAAUAAUGAAGUAUGAUGAGUGGUUUCAAACAGUGACAAAGACUUUUAGAGUUAUUGCUGGGACUGGGACACAACUUGUGUUUAAAAUUGUACUACUUAUGUUUUUUGCAUGUGCUGCUGUC
RNAcentral lists this long non-coding RNA (298 nucleotides) under Trifolium pratense (red clover). RNAcentral describes it as "long non-coding RNA (TPRA_LNC011346)". Lineage: Eukaryota; Viridiplantae; Streptophyta; Magnoliopsida; Fabales; Fabaceae. The record is from RNAcentral.